This 1474-nucleotide long non-coding RNA is filed under the name Gallus gallus (chicken). RNAcentral's name for it is "lncRNA (ENSGALG00010018957.1)". Lineage: Eukaryota; Metazoa; Chordata; Aves; Galliformes; Phasianidae. The record is from RNAcentral.
CUAUUCUUAGAGGAUACACCUGAGGAGUGUCCUGUUUGACCAGACACCUCCAUUACCAAUGUUGGUUUCAGAUUUUUCAUGGCGUUGAGAAAUGCAGUUGGACAUUUAUCCUACUCAUUGGAGUUCUCAAUUUUAUUUCCAUCUGGAAUGGCACAGCAGUACUUGUGGGGCUGUUAACUUGGCUGAGGAAAGUGGUAUGGAACUGGUCCUUUGAACUUAGUGAGUAUCUACUUCAUAGGGCCACGAAGACCAGCAGGAUAUGAAACAACACUUCCACUACCUUUCCUCCAAGCCACUACAUCAGAAGUAUUAAUGAAGCAAAGCCAGGCAGAGACGUCUAAGUGCUCAGAUCAGUCAUGUUGUAAAACCUCAGAACUGAGCCAAAUGGCCACCUCGGUUCAAGAUCUGGAGGGGAAGCAGGAGUGCUCAUCAUCUGUGGUCUGUCUUUGCUGGCCCCAGCAUUUCAUUCAUGUGCUUUGGACACAUCAGUGCAUGACAGUCCCACCACCAACAGAUAGCUCCAAAGCUCCAAAGUGCAGUGCUGAGUUGAACUGAGGCAACAGCUAGGAAAGACAGUGGGAAGCACAUGCACGCUGACGUAUUGAGUGUGCUUUUAAGUUUUAGGAUUGUUUCCCUCUUGGCCUCCACGCUUCUAGCUGCAAUAGAGCUCUGGAGUCUUAUUUUCUGGAAGUCCAUUUGGCUUUCACAUCUGCAGACUCAUCUCUGGUCUCGAGUACUUGGUAUGAAGGUACUUGCAAGUACACCUGAAUGCCCCUAGGCAAUGUGAAUGGCCCUCUUCUAGUUGUUUUAUAGAGAUGUGUUACGCUCUCAGGAGCACAAAGUAGAACAGGGAAAGGUCCAAGGAGUGGGAAGAGCCAUGGAUGGCUGAAGCCCUUUGGAGGAGGCCAUCUCCAGGGUUUGGGCUUCUUGGCUGAGAGUGAGGAUCUUAGCCCAUUGAGACCCCACACAAAGGAAGAACACCAAACCUGUCCGACUGAAGUACAUUUUCCCCAGAACAUAACUGAGGUCAUGGACCUUCUUGGCACGAGCUGUUACAGGGGUACAUUCAGAAAGGGCUGUGAGAAAUCACUAGAAGGCCAGCCCAUGGAGACAGCUCUGGGCCCAGAUGCAGCCUCCUGCUUGAGCUGUUGCUAAAUGCUUCUUGCCAGAAGCUUGGGAGUUAGGCCAAGAGUUACAUCCUCUCCUUCCCUCUGCAAGUCACAAGACACCAGGCUUGGGAUUGACCUUUGCUCUGAUGAACACUCAGGCCCCAACAUUUGGGUUUACCUGGCAGCAAGUCCCAGUGAUGCAAGCAAAAACUGUGAGGGAUGUGACAUUUGUUUGGAUUGCCUUGGUUUGUGUCAUUUUUCUUCUGUAUAUUGAGUUGUACACCCUAGUAUUGUUCCUGCAGUAGAACAGUCACACCCUGCUAGCAUUUUUGUGGCCUGCAGAUCUGUUUCCUUGAUUCUUGCUC